GACGAACGCUGGCGGCGUGCUUAACACAUGCAAGUCGAACGCUGAAGCUCAGCUUUUGUUGGGUGGAUGAGUGGCGAACGGGUGAGUAACACGUGAGUAACCUGCCCCCUUCUUUGGGAUAACGCCCGGAAACGGGUGCUAAUACUGGAUAUUCACUGGUCUUCGCAUGGGGGUUGGUGGAAAGGGUUUUUCUGGUGGGGGAUGGGCUCGCGGCCUAUCAGCUUGUUGGUGGGGUGAUGGCCUACCAAGGCUUUGACGGGUAGCCGGCCUGAGAGGGUGACCGGUCACAUUGGGACUGAGAUACGGCCCAGACUCCUACUGGAGGCAGCAGUGGGGAAUAUUGCACAAUGGGCGCAAGCCUGAUGCAGCGACGCCGCGUGAGGGAUGGAGGCCUUCGGGUUGUGAACCUCUUUCGCUCAUGGUCAAGCCGCAACAAUGGUUGUGGUGAGGGUAGUGGGUAAAGAAGCGCCGGCUAACUACGUG
RNAcentral lists this ribosomal RNA (483 nucleotides) under uncultured bacterium. Its description in RNAcentral is "partial 16S ribosomal RNA". It matches the Rfam family "Bacterial small subunit ribosomal RNA", at positions 28 to 507 of the family's 1533-position model. The record is from RNAcentral.